GAGAGUUAAACAGUACGUGAAAUUGUUGAAAGGGAAACGAUUGAAGUCAGUCAUGCUAGUGAAAAUUCAGUUUGACGGGUUUUGGGUUCAGGAGUAGAGGCAGGGUCAAACCGUUUCUCUUUUGGACUUGGGAUUUGUCAGAUGCACUUUUUCUUUGGCAGGUCAGCGUCGAUUUCGGAGGUUGUAAAAUAUCUGGGGGAAAGUAGCUCUGCUUCGGGAGAGUGUUAUAGACCUUGGGUGAUGCGGCCUGCGGGAUCGAGGAUUGCAGCAAAUGCUUUUGGCUUGUCGCCUGAUCUCUGGACGUCAUCUCGCUUGUAUCAACAUUCUUGGUACCGGUGAGUAAUGGUGCUCAUAGGUUAGAGCGAUCAAAAAUUUUGCUAAGGAUGCUGACGUAAUGGCUUUAAACGA
RNAcentral lists this ribosomal RNA (408 nucleotides) under uncultured Diversispora. Its description in RNAcentral is "partial 28S ribosomal RNA". The record is from RNAcentral. Lineage: Eukaryota; Fungi; Glomeromycota; Glomeromycetes; Diversisporales; Diversisporaceae.